AUCUAUGAUGAUUAAUACGGCAUCACCUUUGGGUCUUCUUAUUACAUUUCACAACUCCAAUUUUGCAACUUAAACCGGGCAAAACGUUGUGAAGCAUUACUUAGACAAUUCGUGCAUUAAUCGUUUAUUCAAAUAUUUGUCUGGAGAUCUAUGGAUAUUUUUUCAAUUUAGGAUCCGUCAUCUUGUCAAGCAAUCAGGUUGUUGGUCUUUCUGUAUAUAGAUUGAUGAACUACAUUGUUGGUCAGUAGAACUGAAAACUUACUUCAAACU
This 270-nucleotide long non-coding RNA is filed under the name Mytilus galloprovincialis (Mediterranean mussel). Lineage: Eukaryota; Metazoa; Mollusca; Bivalvia; Mytilida; Mytilidae. The record is from RNAcentral.